This 77-nucleotide transfer RNA is filed under the name Pandoraea apista. RNAcentral describes it as "tRNA-Arg (CCT) (tRNA-Arg-CCT-1-1)". It matches the Rfam family "tRNA". Rfam says of the family: Transfer RNA (tRNA) molecules are approximately 80 nucleotides in length. Their secondary structure includes four short double-helical elements and three loops (D, anti-codon, and T loops). The record is from RNAcentral. Lineage: Bacteria; Pseudomonadati; Pseudomonadota; Betaproteobacteria; Burkholderiales; Burkholderiaceae.
GUCCCCGUAGCUCAGAUGGAUAGAGCACCUUCCUCCUAAGAAGGGGGUCGCACGUUCGAAUCGUGUCGGGGACGCCA